ACUUAAAUAGCUUAUUAGAGCGUGAUAUUGAAGUUGUCAAGGUAAUCUUUUUGAUUUUUAAGUA
RNAcentral lists this transfer RNA (64 nucleotides) under Alleculinae sp. ALL01. RNAcentral describes it as "tRNA-Phe". The record is from RNAcentral. Lineage: Eukaryota; Metazoa; Arthropoda; Insecta; Coleoptera; Tenebrionidae.